RNAcentral lists this ribosomal RNA (253 nucleotides) under uncultured bacterium. RNAcentral describes it as "partial 16S ribosomal RNA". It matches the Rfam family "Bacterial small subunit ribosomal RNA", at positions 524 to 776 of the family's 1533-position model. The record is from RNAcentral.
UACGUAGGGCGCAAGCGUUGUCCGGAAUUAUUGGGCGUAAAGAGCUCGUAGGCGGUUUGUCGCGUCUGCUGUGAAAACCUAAGGCUCAACCUUGGGCUUGCAGUGGGUACGGGCAGACUAGAGUGCGGUAGGGGUGACUGGAAUUCCUGGUGUAGCGGUGAAAUGCGCAGAUAUCAGGAGGAACACCGGUGGCGAAGGCAGUUCUCUGGGCCGUAACUGACGCUGAGGCACGAAAGCGUGGGGAGCAAACAGG